This 1703-nucleotide long non-coding RNA is filed under the name Sus scrofa (pig). RNAcentral describes it as "lncRNA (ENSSSCG00040018776.1)". The record is from RNAcentral. Lineage: Eukaryota; Metazoa; Chordata; Mammalia; Artiodactyla; Suidae.
UAGUCCAUCCUACUCCUUCCCCUUUGGUAAUCACUAGUCUGUUCUCCAUGUCUGUGAGUCUUUUUCUGUUCUGUAGAUAGGCUCAUCUGUGCCAAUGCUUUUUUUUUUUUUUUUUUUUUUGUCUUUUUAGGGCCACACCCAUAGCAUAUGAAGGUUCCCAGGCUAGGGGUCAAAUCAGAGCUGUAGCCACCCGCCUACACCACAGCCACAGCAGCCAGAUCCAAGCCAUGUCUGCAACCUACACCACAGCUCCUGGCAAUGCUGGAUCCUUAACCCACUGAGCAAGGCCAGGGAUCGAACCUGCAUCUUCAUGGAUCCUAGUCGGAUUUGUUUCUGCUGAGCCACGAGGCCAGCACCCAUCUCUGCCACAUUCUAGAUUCCACAUAUAAUAGCUCCUUGCCAUCUGCUUCUCCAACUUCAGCUUCAGGAACCUACUUUGGUUUUCAGGUGACCAAGAAAAUUUCUCCCUUUCUCAAAAGAAGAGUCAACCACACAGCUUACGUGCCUCACCAAGGAAUUCAUCUGAAUUUCUAGAUCUCUUGCUUACUUAGAGACAGAACUCAAUUAAUUAUGUGCCAAUUAGUUAUUAGUUGCCUAAGAAAUUGCAAAAGACUAUGCCCCAGGCUUUGAUGGAGCACAGUUUCUUAGUGCAGUUUCUCAAAAUAUAAAUCAAGGGCAAAGGUUUAUAAUCAAAUUUCAUAAGUUUAGAAAUCAGUUUUGCUUUGAAAUCAACAUAAUUUGAUCUCAGGCAUUUCUUGGGACUAGAGGAAACAUUUUUACUUCAUGUUGUUUGCCUAAAAAGAAGAGUCAAAAAAACAAAAACUCUCUGGAAGAUCUACAUUCCCCAGAUUCAUCUUAACUAGUGAAGAUGAACGAAAACAUCUGUCCAGUCCCCUCUUUAAAGAUCUUCGUAGGAGGAAUUCUGGGCAUGUGAAAGGAGUCAAGGUCACAGUGUAGGCCUCCGUCUACCAUCCUGCCAGGUCUGCAAGGAACUCAGGGCGUUGCAAGGAACUCAGUUCUGGCGUCCUGCUAAGGAUAAGUAGAAGGCAUUGACUCUUCACUAUGUGGUUGCUUUCAACAAAAUUUAUGAGAAAGCAAAAGGAAGUUUCUAAACUACUGCCAGAUGGCAAGAACUUGGAGCACUGAAAUGAGACUAAAACCCAAUCAGAAAGAAGCAUAACCUAUUUAGGACAAGACAUCCGGGCCUCUUGUGAAACUGAAGCAUUUCCAAAUCUUCUGUAAAGACAUAAAGUCUGACCAGACAAAAUUAUUUCCUAGGUGUAACAUUCAGAAAUCAAAGUCAUACCUGAGUGACAACAGUCUCCCAUUUGCUGUCUGUUCUUUGUUCUUAAGUGAGUUUCUUCUCUGUUGAAGCUGCUUUUGAAGUAUCCUUUUCCCUAUCUUGGGGACAGAUCAACUGGCAUCGUCACCCUUCUGGUACAAAUGAUGGCUUUUCAAAAUAUACCCUUGUAAGAUAGCUGUGUAUGUGCCUAGUUUAGUCCAUUGUCUUUUUUUCUAUUGUCAUUGUAGCCACUUUUGGGGUUAUUUUUUAAAAGUCUUCUAACAGUUUUACUUACCUGUACUCACCCCUUACUUUGGUACUUUAUGAACAGAGACAUUUUUAAAACAAACAAGUCAAAAGAGAUUUUAGGCAUUUUCAAGUUUGCCUAUAUAUAGCAGUGGUUUUUAUCUAACAUAGAGCC